This 75-nucleotide transfer RNA is filed under the name Schistocerca americana (American grasshopper). RNAcentral's name for it is "tRNA-Ser". It matches the Rfam family "tRNA". Rfam says of the family: Transfer RNA (tRNA) molecules are approximately 80 nucleotides in length. Their secondary structure includes four short double-helical elements and three loops (D, anti-codon, and T loops). Lineage: Eukaryota; Metazoa; Arthropoda; Insecta; Orthoptera; Acrididae. The record is from RNAcentral.
GCUUGGGUAGCUCAGUUGGUAGAGCACUUGCCUGGGAAAGGCAAAGGUCCCGAGUUCGAGUCUCGGUCCGGCGCA